AACGAACGCUGGCGGCAGGCUUAACACAUGCAAGUCGAACGGCAGCACAGGAGAGCUUGCUCUCUGGGUGGCGAGUGGCGGACGGGUGAGGAAUACAUCGGAAUCUACUUUUUCGUGGGGGAUAACGUAGGGAAACUUACGCUAAUACCGCAUACGACCUACGGGUGAGAGCAGGGGAUCUUCGGACCUUGCGCGAUUGAAUGAGCCGAUGGCGGAUUAGCUAGUUGGCGGGGUAAAGGCCCACCAAGGCGACGAUCCGUAGCUGGUCUGAGAGGAUGAUCAGCCACACUGGAACUGAGACACGGUCCAGACUCCUACGGGAGGCAGCAGUGGGGAAUAUUGGACAAUGGGCGCAAGCCUGAUCCAGCCAUACCGCGUGGGUGAAGAAGGCCUUCGGGUUGUAAAGCCCUUUUGUUGGGAAAGAAAUCCAGCUGGUUAAUACCCGGUUGGGAUGACGGCACCCAAAGAAUAAGCACCGGCUAACUUCGUGCCAGCCGCCGCGGUAA
This 506-nucleotide ribosomal RNA is filed under the name uncultured bacterium. RNAcentral's name for it is "partial 16S ribosomal RNA". It matches the Rfam family "Bacterial small subunit ribosomal RNA", at positions 29 to 523 of the family's 1533-position model. The record is from RNAcentral.